This 405-nucleotide ribosomal RNA is filed under the name uncultured bacterium. RNAcentral's name for it is "bacterial SSU rRNA". It matches the Rfam family "Bacterial small subunit ribosomal RNA", at positions 355 to 775 of the family's 1533-position model. The record is from RNAcentral.
UGGGGAAUAUUGGGCAAUGGGGGAAACCCUGACCCAGCAACGCCGCGUGAGGGAAGAAGGUUUUCGGAUUGUAAACCUCUGUUCUUGGAGAAGAGAAGGAGACGGUAUCCAAGGAGGAAGCCCCGGCUAACUACGUGCCAGCAGCCGCGGUAAUACGUAGGGGGCGAGCGUUGUCCGGAAUGAUUGGGCGUAAAGGGCGCGUAGGCGGCCGAGCAAGUCAGUAGUGGAAGUCCAAUUUUCAAGGUUGGAAGUGCUAUUGAAACUGCAGGGCUUGAGUGCAGGAGAGGUUAUCGGAAUUCCCGGUGUAGCGGUGAAAUGCGUAGAGAUCGGGAGGAACACCAGUGGCGAAGGCGGGUAACUGGACUGCAACUGACGCUGAGGCGCGAAAGUGUGGGGAGCAAACAG